This 468-nucleotide ribosomal RNA is filed under the name uncultured bacterium. RNAcentral describes it as "partial 16S ribosomal RNA". It matches the Rfam family "Bacterial small subunit ribosomal RNA", at positions 28 to 507 of the family's 1533-position model. The record is from RNAcentral.
GACGAACGCUGGCGGCGUGCUUAACACAUGCAAGUCGAACGGAAAGGCGCUGCCUUUGUGGGGUGCUCGAGUGGCGAACGGGUGGGUAACAUGUGAGUAACCUGACCUUGCCUUUGGGAUAACUUCAGGAAACUGGGGCUAAUACCGGAUAGGAGCUCCUGAUGCUUGGUGGGGGUUGGAAAGUUUCGGCGGUUGGGGAUGGACUCGCGGCUUAUCAGCUUGUUGGUGGGGUAGUGGCUUACCAAGGCUUUGACGGGUAGCCGGCCUGAGAGGGUGACCGGCCACAUUGGGACUGAGAUGCGGCCCAGACUCCUACGGGAGGCAGCAGUGGGGAAUAGUGCGCAAUGGGCGGAAGCCGGAUGCAGCAACGCCGCGUGCGGGAUGACGGCCUUCGGGUUGUAAACCGCUUUCGCCUGUGACGAAGCGUGAGUGACGGUAAUUGGUAAAGAAGCGCCGGCUAACUACGUG